Molecule: ribosomal RNA, 254 nt
Filed under: uncultured bacterium
Lineage: Bacteria
Description: partial 16S ribosomal RNA
Rfam family: Bacterial small subunit ribosomal RNA
Source: RNAcentral
UACGAAGGGGGCUAGCGUUGUUCGGAAUCACUGGGCGUAAAGCGCACGCAGGCGGAUUGAUAAGUCAGGGGCGAAAUCCCGGAGCUCAACUUCGGAAUUGCCUUUGAUACUGUCUAUCUUCGAGUUCGGGAGAGGUUGGCGGAAUUCCUAGUGUAGAGGUGAAAUUCGUAGAUAUUAGGAAGAACCCCAGUGGCGAAGGCGGCCAACUGGCCCGAUACUGACGCUCAUGUGCGAAAGCGUGGGGAGCAAACAGG